Long non-coding RNA from Polyodon spathula (Mississippi paddlefish), 1032 nucleotides. RefSeq lists it as uncharacterized. The record is from RefSeq and is a predicted model, not a curated record. Lineage: Eukaryota; Metazoa; Chordata; Actinopteri; Acipenseriformes; Polyodontidae. The transcript has 3 exons.
AGCUAGGUCAUAUUUUAUUCUUGAAUUUAGCCAACUGGUUAAAACGGUACACAGAGCUAACACAAGAAUCCCUGUAAAUAUGAUCAGCUGUGAAAGAUGCACACAUUAUGUAUUGGAUUUGUAAUGGUAUUUUAUAUAAUGUUCCGAUUUUAACACUGAAACGAGCUCCCCUUCCAGCUGUUCUGAUCAAAUGAGAGCCGAUAGCGCCCUCUUGUGGGAGUCUUUUUUUUUUUUUUUUACAGAGCUGGAAUUUUGAGUCUUAUCUUUUGAUCGCUUUCUACCGAACGUUAUGUUAGACACCAGGAUUCCCAGCCAUUUCCAGGAGCAGAGGACACAGUUGGAGUCGGGGCAGAGGGUAGGAGACACUUCUUUACACAGAGAGUGGUCCUUGAAUUUAUACAGAUGUUCUGCUUUGAGUCUGACGUCAAUCCCGAAUCAGUCAUUCAGCCUUAUGCUGUCCAUGUUCGUUUAGUCAGGCUAUGCUUUCAGAUCACCUGGAGAGAGAAACUGUCUCCCUUCAAGGCCGCCUUUCCCAUCAGUGUCCAAUCAGCUGCUUCCUCUAAUGACUGACGAGAUUGCAGCAAAGGCACUGCAGAGGAAGUGUUACAGAUUUCCUGAGGGAAGGCAAACAAACCGAGAACUUUCAAGCCGGCCCGAGUUUGUAUUUAAGAUGGUUCAUCUAGUUUUUGAAAUUUGUAGUGUAUGUUUGUACAGUAACUAGUUUAGGUGUGGACUUUAUUUUGAAUGAACCACUUGUGUAGUACGUAGAACUACCUGUUUUAAAGUAUUUAGAAAUAUUAAUAGAAACAAUAAAUUAAAAGACAAUAUUCAGUCUUCAGGUUUAACUAUUCAGUGAAUACAGCUGUUUGAGUAUUGUGUAUUUACAGUGGUAGACAAAAGUAUUGGCCCAUACACUUAAUACAAGAUCACUCAUGUUAGAGAAUACAUGUUAAACACAAGCCUUUAGUGAACAGCCACUAAAUUAAUAUGACAAAGACCAAAAUACACAAUGUCUGAUUGCUUAUAAAAAAC